Molecule: ribosomal RNA, 1422 nt
Filed under: Escherichia coli
Lineage: Bacteria; Pseudomonadati; Pseudomonadota; Gammaproteobacteria; Enterobacterales; Enterobacteriaceae
Description: partial 23S ribosomal RNA
Rfam family: Bacterial large subunit ribosomal RNA
Source: RNAcentral
AUCAAACCGGGAGAUAGCUGGUUCUCCCCGAAAGCUAUUUAGGUAGCGCCUCGUGAAUUCAUCUCCGGGGGUAGAGCACUGUUUCGGCAAGGGGGUCAUCCCGACUUACCAACCCGAUGCAAACUGCGAAUACCGGAGAAUGUUAUCACGGGAGACACACGGCGGGUGCUAACGUCCGUCGUGAAGAGGGAAACAACCCAGACCGCCAGCUAAGGUCCCAAAGUCAUGGUUAAGUGGGAAACGAUGUGGGAAGGCCCAGACAGCCAGGAUGUUGGCUUAGAAGCAGCCAUCAUUUAAAGAAAGCGUAAUAGCUCACUGGUCGAGUCGGCCUGCGCGGAAGAUGUAACGGGGCUAAACCAUGCACCGAAGCUGCGGCAGCGACGCUGAUGCGUUGUUGGGUAGGGGAGCGUUCUGUAAGCCUGCGAAGGUGUGCUGUGAGGCAUGCUGGAGGUAUCAGAAGUGCGAAUGCUGACAUAAGUAACGAUAAAGCGGGUGAAAAGCCCGCUCGCCGGAAGACCAAGGGUUCCUGUCCAACGUUAAUCGGGGCAGGGUGAGUCGACCCCUAAGGCGAGGCCGAAAGGCGUAGUCGAUGGGAAACAGGUUAAUAUUCCUGUACUUGGUGUUACUGCGAAGGGGGGACGGAGAAGGCUAUGUUGGCCGGGCGACGGUUGUCCCGGUUUAAGCGUGUAGGCUGGUUUUCCAGGCAAAUCCGGAAAAUCAAGGCUGAGGCGUGAUGACGAGGCACUACGGUGCUGAAGCAACAAAUGCCCUGCUUCCAGGAAAAGCCUCUAAGCAUCAGGUAACAUCAAAUCGUACCCCAAACCGACACAGGUGGUCAGGUAGAGAAUACCAAGGCGCUUGAGAGAACUCGGGUGAAGGAACUAGGCAAAAUGGUGCCGUAACUUCGGGAGAAGGCACGCUGAUAUGUAGGUGAAGUCCCUUGCGGAUGGAGCUGAAAUCAGUCGAAGAUACCAGCUGGCUGCAACUGUUUAUUAAAAACACAGCACUGUGCAAACACGAAAGUGGACGUAUACGGUGUGACGCCUGCCCGGUGCCGGAAGGUUAAUUGAUGGGGUCAGCGCAAGCGAAGCUCUUGAUCGAAGCCCCGGUAAACGGCGGCCGUAACUAUAACGGUCCUAAGGUAGCGAAAUUCCUUGUCGGGUAAGUUCCGACCUGCACGAAUGGCGUAAUGAUGGCCAGGCUGUCUCCACCCGAGACUCAGUGAAAUUGAACUCGCUGUGAAGAUGCAGUGUACCCGCGGCAAGACGGAAAGACCCCGUGAACCUUUACUAUAGCUUGACACUGAACAUUGAGCCUUGAUGUGUAGGAUAGGUGGGAGGCUUUGAAGUGUGGACGCCAGUCUGCAUGGAGCCGACCUUGAAAUACCACCCUUUAAUGUUUGAUGUUCUAACGUGGACCCGU